RNAcentral lists this microRNA (22 nucleotides) under Lottia gigantea (owl limpet). RNAcentral describes it as "Lgi-Mir-1984-P2_3p* (star (passenger))". The record is from RNAcentral. Lineage: Eukaryota; Metazoa; Mollusca; Gastropoda; Lottiidae.
CAGUGCCUGUUAGAAUGGUUUG